This 148-nucleotide non-coding RNA is filed under the name Chlorocebus sabaeus (green monkey). Lineage: Eukaryota; Metazoa; Chordata; Mammalia; Primates; Cercopithecidae. The record is from Rfam by way of RNAcentral.
GCUGGGCAUAGUGGCGCGUGCCUGUAAUCCCAGCUACUCCGGAGGCCGAGGCAGGAGAAUUGCUUGAACCCAGGAAGUGGAGGUUGCAGUGAGCCAAGACUGUGCCAUUGCACUCCAGCCUGGGUGACAGAGCAAGACUUUGUCUCAA